Molecule: unclassified non-coding RNA, 258 nt
Filed under: rhizosphere metagenome
Description: partial ribosomal RNA internal transcribed spacer region
Source: RNAcentral
GUAGGUGAACCUGCGGAAGGAUCAUUACAAAUGACCGGCCGAAAGGCCACGCCGAAGCGCGGUUUCCCCCCGAACCGCGCUGAACGGUCUACCCUUUGUGAAAACCCCUCGUUGCUUCGGCAGCACCUCCUUGCCAUCGGUAAGGGGGGUUAGCCUGCCGACAGCACCCUUCAAAACCCAUGUUGCAAAACCAGUACUCUGUCUGAUAAAGCAGUCGAAUUGACUUUAAAACUUUCAACAACGGAUCUCUUGGUUCCC